Non-coding RNA from Carica papaya (papaya), 980 nucleotides. NCBI's taxonomy places the organism in Eukaryota, Viridiplantae, Streptophyta, Magnoliopsida, Brassicales, Caricaceae. The record is from RefSeq and is a predicted model, not a curated record.
UUUAUCAAGAACGACAGUUAGCUGCUCUCCCCGAGUUGACUCUUACCAAUUCCUCCACCUUUAGUUUCCAUUUUUCCACGAGUCACACUGCCUUCUUUCUCCCUCUCUGCUCGACCGGCUUCACGAAGGCCCUACUUAAAUCAACUCUCACUCAGUUUUCCCUUGUCAUCCCCGCGAACCUCAGCGCGCCUCUUGUCGUUCUCUCCCUUCAAGCAGUCUCAGCCCUUUCUUCCGUUAUUGUCGGCCACUUGGCGUCCUUUAAUGGUAACCUCUGAGCGCAACUCGCUCAAAUGCAACUCAACUCGAGACCCGCGGUAAUCAUUGCCCCGCAACCAGUUAUCGCCGCGACGUCUUCUGCUCUACAAACGGUGCUACCUCGGCUCCUCUUAAUUGAAGGACCUUGCUUAUGUAAAUGGCGUCCUCUCUGCUGUCUCGCACUUCUCGCAGUAUCCUGAAAUCCUAUGUGUCUUCUAGUUCCUCCUUGCUCGCUUUUCUCACUGUCAAAGUCAUCUCCCCAUUAAGCCCUAGUCCCAACCCUAGUGCAGCGAUUCCUUUAGGCCCCUGGGCCAAUCAACUCGCUUAUAAUUUCCAUUUUCUAUCCAGCCUUGAGUUUUCUCAUAAAAGUUUGGGAUCUCCCCGAGAAUACAACACAUUUGGUAAGAAUUAUAGAUCUUUAGAAGGAAUCUCAACAUCAUCCUCAUUGCCUAAAAUAGCAAAAGGCAGCUCAGAGGAGGAUAGAAAGGAGAGUACUGCCAAUGAAGAGUCAUGGAUUGACUAUUUGCCCAGGAAAGCUCAACCAUAUGCAAAACUUGCUCGCUUGGAUAAACCCAUCGGGACCUGGUUGCUUGCCUGGCCAUGUAUGUGGUUGAGCGUACAAAGCUGAGACCAGUUGCGAGUGGUCUUUUGACACCAUUUCAAGGGCUCUCUUUUCUUGGCUUUCAACUGCUUUUAGGUCUCGGGAUUCUCCUUCAACUUAAUAA